CAGUAGCCGCGGUAAUACAGAGGAUGGAAGCGUUAUCCGGAAUGAUUGGGCGUAAAGCGUCUGUAGGUGGCUUUUCAAGUCCGCCGUCAAAUCCCAGGGCUCAACCGUGGACAGGCGGUGGAAACUACCAAGCUGGAGUACGGUAGGGGCAGAGGGAAUUUCCGAUGGAGCGGUGAAACGCGUUGAGAUCGGAAAGAACACCAACGGAGAAAGCACUCUGCUGGGCCGACACUGACACUGAGAGACGAAAUCUAGGGGAGCAAAUGGAUUAGAUACCCCCGUAGUCCCUGUCUCUUAUACA
RNAcentral lists this ribosomal RNA (301 nucleotides) under uncultured bacterium. RNAcentral describes it as "partial 16S ribosomal RNA". It matches the Rfam family "Bacterial small subunit ribosomal RNA", at positions 509 to 808 of the family's 1533-position model. The record is from RNAcentral.